GGGCCCGCACAAGCGGUGGAGUAUGUGGUUUAAUUCGAUGCAACGCGAAGAACCUUACCAGGGUUUGACAUCCUGCGAAUCUCUUGGAAACGAGAGAGUGCCUUCGGGAACGCAGUGACAGGUGGUGCAUGGCUGUCGUCAGCUCGUGUCGUGAGAUGUUGGGUUAAGUCCCGCAACGAGCGCAACCCACGUCUUUAGUUGCCAGCAUUUAGUUGGGCACUCUAGAGAGACCGCCGGUGAUAAACCGGAGGAAGGUGUGGAUGACGUCAAGUCAUCAUGCCCCUUACAUCCUGGGCUACACACGUACUACAAUGCUACGGACAAAGGGCAGCAAGUUCGCGAGGACAAGCAAAUCCCAUAAACCGUGGCUCAGUUCAGAUCGUAGGCUGCAACUCGCCUCCAUGAAGUCGGAAUC
This 415-nucleotide ribosomal RNA is filed under the name uncultured bacterium. RNAcentral's name for it is "bacterial SSU rRNA". It matches the Rfam family "Bacterial small subunit ribosomal RNA", at positions 917 to 1333 of the family's 1533-position model. The record is from RNAcentral.